CUUUCAGAUCUGUAGAAAGAAAUCAAACUUUCUCUUCUUAGGCCAUUUUGAACGCACAGCCUCCAGCAGCCACACCGACAUCUCCUUCUUACGCCAAGCCGCCGCAGCCACAGCACCGCCACCGGGAGUCACCGCCCGCCACAGCCACUGCACGCCGCCCUCCGCCACCGCGACACCGUACCACUCCGCCCUUGCAGCUCAUCAUCGCUCAACCCUUAGCCGGCUGAUUUCACAGAUGAAGCCAAGACUUAGUCUACCCUAUCUUGCUAAAUGAGUAAAUGUGAACAAGGAAUGGUUUGAACUCACAUUUUACACCGAAAUUUGGAUGUUCAAAAACUCAACCCAUGAAAUUAUAGUUCCCAAAACACCGAAAUUUGCAGUAUAGUAUGGGUGUGAAUUACUCUACAACAGCAACUAUCCCCACUCAAGAAAUGGAAGUGGUGGAUAUCCACCCUCAGGAGCUGGCCUGGCAUUAAAGAGGGCCGUAGAGUACCCAGAGAUGCUCCUGUCUUGUCUCUAAACAUUUCACAUGGGAAAGAGGUUGAUCCAAAAGCUUGACCAUGCAGAUUAUGCUUCAGUAUAUCAUCACUGAAGGCAUUCCCUCUUAUUCGUUCAAGAUUCAUAUUUUGUGUGUUUUGCUUUGGAUGAUAAUAUCUACUAAUAUUAGUUUAAAUAUUAUUGUUCAAUUUAUGGUAUUUUAGUAUUUUAUUGAAUUGUAAAUUAUUUGAGAUUGUUUAAAAUAGUUGUGAUGUUUAUUAGUUUGAUUAAUUGAGAAAA
Molecule: long non-coding RNA, 777 nt
Organism: Ipomoea triloba (trilobed morning glory)
Lineage: Eukaryota; Viridiplantae; Streptophyta; Magnoliopsida; Solanales; Convolvulaceae
Exons: 2
Source: RefSeq, a predicted model, not a curated record